AAAAACAAAGUCAAAGUACUAGAAUAAGAGUUAAGAAACAAAUCCGGAACGAGCAUCCAAAGUUACGCCUACUUCGAAGAAUUACAAAAGUAAAAGCUAUGAAAUUCGAUCUUGAUCUUCUCCGUAGCCGUCACGUGCUCCUUGGAAUGUUUCUAGGUUAUGUUUUUAGUCCCCCAAAGCCUUUCUUAAACUUCCCCAGCGAUCGGGCCUUGAAACGGAUCAGAAACAGGAAAACGGGCUUAAAUUCGCUGCCAGUUUGGUGCGGGUGCGCCAGAUUUGGGGCGGGUGCGCCAACGGGGCAGGUGCGUCAGAUUUGGGGCGGGUGCCCCAAUUCAGCAGCCCACUUCUUUGUUCAUAACUUUUGACUCGCGCAUCCGAUUGCUUCGCCGUUUUUUUUCAAUGAAAGCUAUGAAUCUCCUCUUCGUUCUCCUCCAAAGAAACCUACACAACAUCACACUAAAACAUAUCAAAAACAUCAAAAGCUUGAGGCCAGAUCAUCCAUUUAAGUCAAAACGAAGGCUUCCAAGUGGAUAUAAAAUCCACUUAUCACACCCCCAAACUUAAACCGAUGCUUGUCCUCAAGCAUAGACACACACACAAAUACUAAUAAUGCAAUGCAUGAAUGCAACUAAAUGCCUACAUCUAAGCGAAUCAUGAAGUGUAAUCCUUGUUAACAUAGCAUCCUCAAAAUAUGCAACAUUCUCGGCAUUCAUCUCUUUCACACAUUAGCCAUGUUCUCUUCCACUACUAGUGUGAAGUGCAUCGUGUGUGCUAGCAUGCUCUCUAGUGAAACAAAACAAAGACUAUCAAACUUCAAUAAAGUCCUCACUAUGAGCCGUUAAUAAGAAUCCGGUUUAAACACUUCUUUACUACAGAGUCAACUACAAUUUAGGGUCACCAAAGAAUUCCUAUGCCUCUCCUAUUUUUUCUAUAUUUUUUUUUCUCGCUAAGUCUAAGGUUGGGACGCUUCUCAGUGUAAGUGAGUCACGACCGCCAUUCAACUUCGCUUUUUUUUUCCUCUUUUUUUUAAUCAAGUAAUUCUCCAGUAAUCAAGGGUUGUGAAAAGUCACCAAGAAAUUGCUUAUUCUAAUACAUUUGCACUUAAUACCAGCACAAGUACAUGGAUCGUCCCUUUCACAUGACAUUGCAUUUUACCCAUUGAUCUCAAAGGAGUACCUGAUAAUUUUUUU
RNAcentral lists this long non-coding RNA (1190 nucleotides) under Daucus carota (carrot). Its description in RNAcentral is "long non-coding RNA (DCAR_LNC003575)". Lineage: Eukaryota; Viridiplantae; Streptophyta; Magnoliopsida; Apiales; Apiaceae. The record is from RNAcentral.